UACGAGGGGGACUAGCGUUGUUCGGAUUUACUGGGCGUAAAGGGUGCGUAGGCGGGUCUUUAAGUCAGAGGUGAAAUCCUGGAGCUCAACUCCAGAACUGCCUUUGAUACUGAGGAUCUUGAGUUCGGGAGAGGUGAGUGGAACUGCGAGUGUAGAGGUGAAAUUCGUAGAUAUUCGCAAGAACACCAGUGGCGAAGGCGGCUCACUGGCCCGAUACUGACGCUGAGGCACGAAAGCGUGGGGAGCAAACAGG
RNAcentral lists this ribosomal RNA (253 nucleotides) under uncultured bacterium. RNAcentral describes it as "partial 16S ribosomal RNA". It matches the Rfam family "Bacterial small subunit ribosomal RNA", at positions 524 to 776 of the family's 1533-position model. The record is from RNAcentral.